Molecule: ribosomal RNA, 485 nt
Filed under: uncultured bacterium
Lineage: Bacteria
Description: partial 16S ribosomal RNA
Rfam family: Bacterial small subunit ribosomal RNA
Source: RNAcentral
GAUGAACGCUAGCGACAGGCUUAACACAUGCAAGUCGAGGGGCAGCACAGGUAGCAAUUCCGGGUGGCGACCGGCGCACGGGUGAGUAACGCGUAUGCAACUUACCUAUCAGAGGGGGAUAACCCGGCGAAAGUCGGACUAAUACCGCAUGAAGCAGGGGUUCCGCAUGGGGACAUUUGCUAAAGAUUCAUCGCUGAUAGAUAGGCAUGCGUUCCAUUAGGCAGUUGGCGGGGUAACGGCCCACCAAACCGACGAUGGGUAGGGGUUGUGAGAGGAAGGCCCACCACAUUGGUACUGAGGCACGGACCAAAAUGCUACGGGAGGCAGCGGUAAGGAAGAUUAGGCAAUGGACGAGGGGCUAGACCAGCCACGUCGCGUGAGAGAGGAAGGUGCUUUUGAUCGUAAACUUCUUUUAAAAGAAAAUAAAGUGCGGGACGCGUCCCGUUUUGAAGGUGCCUUAUGAAUAAGGACCGGCUAACUCCGUG